This is a small nucleolar RNA of Cavia porcellus (domestic guinea pig), 101 nucleotides long. It matches the Rfam family "Small nucleolar RNA U13". NCBI's taxonomy places the organism in Eukaryota, Metazoa, Chordata, Mammalia, Rodentia, Caviidae. The record is from Rfam.
AUCCUUCAGUUCAUGAAUAUGAUGACUGCGUGUUCAUGCUGUUUGUAUUUGAGUACUUUCCUCAAAUCUUGUUAUGAUAUCAGUACAUUAUCCAUCUAAUG